AGUUGCCGCUGGGUGCCCACACCGUGGCUCCCGGGCGCGGGAAGAGAGGGUGGCACUGUUGUUAUCCGUGCGGAGAAAGGGCGCAGCGGUGUUUGCACAGCGCGGACGGAAGCGCUGGUGGCAGCCCCGAGGCGCAGGGUGUGCGGCAGCAGGACAGCAGUGACAAGGCAAAGCAUUUCUGGAUUCACUUGAAGACUGACACAUGGACAUGUUUCCAUUGAAGUUGCUACAGGUGAUAGGAGUUUUCUUCUGAAGACUGACAAAAGGACUGGAGCACAUGAUUAUGUUGUUACUGGAUCAGUGAAGAGAACCAUGAAAAACACAAUUACCAGGAAGCCCUGUUCCUUAGCUCACCUCUUUGUCUCACUGCGAAUGGGGCAUGUGACUCACGGAGCAAUAGAGGACCGGCUGUAAUCUCACGCACUACCGAGAAGGGUGCUGUCCUCCGAUGGGACCCAAGCGUGGGAAAGCCUGACUGCCGGCUGGAAGGGCCAGUCAUGUCAUGUUUUGCAGCUGGCAUCCAAAUGCAUCCUGAUGAAUCAAGUGAGAGCAGCUACCUUCUCCUGCCACAACCGUGGCCAAGCUGCCACGUAGAAGAGGGGCUGUAAAAACCUCCCCGCAUGCAAAAGCACAGGGAAGGGAUGAUGUUGUGAAUGAGCUUACUGUGACAGCACAGAAAUGUUUUAUAGGUCAAUGGCAUAGCAUCAGACUAAAGGGAGAGGGGAAGAGUAUCUUUCAGCUGUGAGUGCUGGUCUCAGGUUUGCACAGUGCAGGACCAUGGUUAGUGGGCCUGACCCGACCCCCUUAUGUGAUGCAUGGUGGGAAAAGAGAAAUUCUCUUGCUCUCUGCACUCCAAAUCACGUAUAAACCUAUGACCUCAAUGACAAAUACCAGUAGCAGCAGAGCAGCCAAUAUUUUUAUCAUUAAUUGCUAUCAAAAAUAUCAGCUUAAAGUCAUCAGAUUUGAUAGGCGAGCAUGCUCCAAACUGACGGCUGAAGUGAAUUAUUUGCCUAUUGCGUGAUGCAAAAGCAAUGUCUUGCAGGAGAGAACAGACAUUGGCCAACAAACUGACAGCAAGAUAUACUUCUGGGGAAGGCUUCUGAUUUGAUUUGGAAGGAAACACUGAGUAUAAAUACAGAGAAAGUUUACCUGCAUGAAAGGCAGGGUUGAGCCAUGGCUUGGACCUCCUUACUCUGCUGGAGAACAGUGUGAAUCGUACUUUCUAUUUUACUCUCUUUGAGCUGUUCUCAUUACAAAAAGGUACCAGACACCUCAGAAAGUUUUUUAAGUAAUAAAGCAUUUUUUCCCCCAUCCCUGGUGCAUCCAUCUAUCAGUGACUAAUGAGCACAUAAAUUCCAGCAUGUGAAGAAAAAUCCCUUCAUCUUGGUGUUGGCAGAAUUUUCCCUGCCCAUGGAUCUGCAGCACAAAUCUUUCUGGUCUUUCUGUGCUGAGGGUCUAAACAUGGGCAGACAGUACAUGGUGCAUUACUGGCAUACAAAUAAUGUAACUACUAGGUACUACAAAUUGAAUCAGGACCUGUUUAAAUGCUGGUAUAACCAUGAACAUCAUCCAGGACAUGCUUCUGUGGGAUUUGGUGACUGUCUUUAUUUCACCCAGUGAGAAAAACCCCAUAUGGAAGCAGGAUUCCAUUGAAGGGAAAGUUAGCUAUGCCUUCCAGGAAUCUCUUUUGCCCCCAAAAAUUCAGACAUCACGGGACAUAAGCAGAAAAUGAAAGAGAACCAGUGAGGGGAAAACCAAACAGGCUAGGGUCUUCUUGCCACUUCUUUUGAAGUCCCCAGUGUAACUCCUGGCAUCUUCAGUGGGGUUUGGCUGGGCUCUGUGCAGAAGCGCCUUUGAAGAUUUUGCUAAGGCUCAAGGCCUUGAUCAUGGCAACUUUUAUGCCUGUGAGCAACUCUGUGCAGAUGAACACUUCCAGGGUGCUCAGCAGGAUGCUUUGGAUGAGACUUUGCAGGGCUAGUCUUAAGCAAUGAGAGCUUAAGAGAAAUAUUCUGGUUGUCGUGCUUUUAUCCUUGACCACAUCAAAUGAAAUGCCUUGGCAGUUCUGGAAGAAUGAAUUUGCAUUGAAAACCCACAGCUCUUACAAGCAGUGCAUUAAUUAUUUUAUUAAUUUGCUCUUUUUACAUUAUGGGAAACAUUCAUCUAUUUACAUUUUCCGGUCCACACACAAACCAGAUAGAUAAUCCUAUGGAAACCCAAAUCAUUAAGCCAUAAAAACACUCUUUUCUGUCUAAAGGCUUUCAAAUUUGUGUCUUUUGUUUCAAAUCAAAAACAUUUUUAAAAUCACAUUUGGGAAUGCAGGUAGGCCAGUGAUUUACAUUCUACUUAAAAUAUGCAUUUGACCAUUUUCCUUAAAAAAAAAAAAACAAAACAAAAAACCAAAACCCCCAAUAAAUUCACAAUGAUACAGUUUAAAUUAAAGUGAUAGUGCACAUCAAAGCGUUAAGGGAACACCAAUAAAUAAAAUGAAAUAUAUUACAAAUAAAUUAUUUCUAUUUACCUUUUCAAAUAUUAAAAAUCUUUAAUCCAUUUCUUCAUCUUUCUUUACAAAAAGAUUAUGAGAAUUUUAUGGAAACAUCUGCAAAAAAUAUAAUAAAUACCUCUUUUUUUUUUUUUUUUUGACUUUUGAAGCAGGAGACAAAACCAACCUUUUCUAAAAUUUCCCCCAAGAAAAAAAAGCCAUAGUUUAGUCCCAAGGUGAAACAGAAUAUAGGCAUUUUUAAAAUACACUGGGCAGUUUAGACUAAAAACAAAUAGUUACAAAUUAUACUAAAACAGAUGAUGGAGCAAAUAUACUAGCAUUAGUGUUUGUAAAUGAGUCAAGUGGUUAACUAGUGGCAUUCUAUGGGCAGAAUUAUUUUAUUUUGUAUUUUCUGGUAUUGGCUGUAUUUUAAUACUUUGCUAAAAAACUAGGCAAACAUUAUAAUAACCUCUCCAGUGCCAAAUGAACUAACAAGCAUUCAGCUAAGAAUAAAUUCAUUUAAAAUAGAUACAAAAAAUAUUCUAUGAUAUACAAAUACAAUAAUUUGUAAUGUACAAGACUAGAUAGUCUUCACUUUUCUGCUUUUUCAGGGGAGAAAUUGAUGGAUAUAAAUUUCUGUAGCCACUUGUCAACCAAAGUCUUAACUCAUCUUUCGUAAAACGUUCACAAAACUAAGUAAGUCUGCGACACAGUUGUGAAUGUGGACUCUCACCUAGGUACUGCUUUGAAUACUUCAGUACAAAUGAGUUCCAAAUAAUUAAUACUUCCUAUGACUAUAUAUGCUCAAAAGUGGCAGUUGGCACUAUUACAUACUGCAAACACGGUGAUGUUUUGUUGCUGCUAAAAGUUAAACGCAGUGUUUCAAAACUAGCAAAUACACUGGUAUUCAAACGCUUAGAGAGUCAAACCUUUUGAAGCUCCUGUAACACCAAGCACUCUAGAGUUACACUGGAUUUCUGAUUACUCUAGUUAAAAGUCUUUUAUAUAUUAAAUUAUUAGCCCUUAUCUUGUAAACCACAGCAGUAAAUAUUUGUGCCCUGUUUAUAAAGACAUAGCUCAGAUAUCGAUGGCUUUGAGAGGUAGCAAAUUCUCUAGUGGUUUUAGUAUGCUCUCAUGAAAAUACUUGGUGCCAGAACCUAUUACCUCUCCUAUUUUCUCGAAUAAAAUUAAAUUAGCACCUGGCUAUGAUGUCAUAGGAAAAGAAGCUGUCUGGCAUGGUCUCGAUGAAAACUUUUAGCAAGAGCUUAACUUUUCGAUGACAAUUUUCAAUGCUUUUUAAGUGCAAGCUGCAGAAUUAUGCCACAUGUGCAGUGGGGUU
Serinus canaria (Common canary) is the source of this 3818-nucleotide long non-coding RNA. RefSeq lists it as uncharacterized. The transcript has 4 exons. The record is from RefSeq and is a predicted model, not a curated record. Lineage: Eukaryota; Metazoa; Chordata; Aves; Passeriformes; Fringillidae.